Molecule: ribosomal RNA, 481 nt
Filed under: uncultured bacterium
Lineage: Bacteria
Description: partial 16S ribosomal RNA
Rfam family: Bacterial small subunit ribosomal RNA
Source: RNAcentral
GAUGAACGCUGGCGGCGUGCCUAACACAUGCAAGUCGAACGGAGAUUACGGACGGAAGUUUUCGGAUGGAAGACUGUAAUUCUUAGCGGCGGACGGGUGAGUAACGCGUGGGCAACCUGCCCUAUACAGGGGGAUAGCAGCUGGAAACGGCUGGUAAGACCGCAUAAGUCGGCGAGACCGCAUGGUUUUGCCGGGAAAUGAGCAAUCAGGUAUAGGAUGGGCCCGCGUCCGAUUAGCCAGUUGGCAGGGUAAAAGCCUACCAAAGCAACGAUCGGUAGCCGGACUGAGAGGUCGGACGGCCACACUGGGACUGAGACACGGCCCAAACUCCUACGGGAGGCAGCAGUGGGGGAUAUUGCACAAUGGAGGAAACUCUGAUGCAGCGACGCCGCGUGAGUGAAGAAGUAUUUCGGUAUGUAAAGCUCUAUCAGCAGGGAAGAUGAUGACGGUACCUGACUAAGAAGCCCCGGCUAACUACGUG